Molecule: long non-coding RNA, 543 nt
Organism: Triticum aestivum (bread wheat)
Lineage: Eukaryota; Viridiplantae; Streptophyta; Magnoliopsida; Poales; Poaceae
Exons: 2
Source: RefSeq, a predicted model, not a curated record
CUCAUAUCUCCCUUUAUCAAUCGUGGUCUCUCUCAAUCUCUCAUGUCUCUCCCUCUCUUAAACUCUCAUAUCUCUCUUCCUCCCUCAUGUCCUUCUUACUACCCACGUGGAAAGCAGAUCGGCAUCUCUCCCAAAAUUGGAGCAAGGAAGUUGGGGCAUGGAAUCUGUGCGCUCGCCCAUCGAUCUUAUCACAUUAGAAAUUGUUUCUAGUUUAGCUCAGAUCACCCAGCAUGUGGCAGUAGAGAAUCAGAUUGGGGAUACACUUGGUCAGAAUUGAAGACACCGUCAUUGAUGAUAAGGCCAACCAUCAAACACAUGGAUGAACUGCGCCCUGCCCCUGGACGCAGCUGCAGGUCGCUGUUCAUGACCACCACCACCAAGUUCUACAUAUGGCCGUAUGCUCCACUGCUCUAAGAUGAUGUUGCCCUUUUCAGUUGUAUUUCAGUAGUAGAUCUGUAUUUACGUUCACGCACUACUUACUAGCGCUACUAGUAGAAAAGGGGGCAUUUGUCCCGGUUCGUAAGGGCCUUUAGUCCCGGUUCA